Molecule: transfer RNA, 74 nt
Filed under: Merluccius polli (Benguela hake)
Lineage: Eukaryota; Metazoa; Chordata; Actinopteri; Gadiformes; Merlucciidae
Description: tRNA-Arg
Source: RNAcentral
GACAGACAGUGGUAGGUUGUUCGACUUCUAACCGCAAGGGUCUGGGUUCGAUCCCCAGUGUCCGAAACCUACCA